Molecule: long non-coding RNA, 643 nt
Filed under: Helianthus annuus (common sunflower)
Lineage: Eukaryota; Viridiplantae; Streptophyta; Magnoliopsida; Asterales; Asteraceae
Description: hypothetical non coding rna
Source: RNAcentral
GUCUGGGAAGUGCGGGGAUGCGUCUGAAAGUGCCGGGAUGCGUCUGGAAGUGCCAGGAUGCGUCUGGGAAGUGCCAGGAUGCGUCUGGGAAGUGACGGGAUGCGUCUGGAAGUGCCGGGAUGCGUCUGGGAAGUGUCGGGAUGCGUCUGGAAGUGCACGGGAUGCGUCUGAAAGUGGCAGUCAUCUCCGGCGAGUUGCAGACGCCUCCGGCUCCGUCUCCGGCGUGUUGCAGACGCCUCCGGCUCCGUCUCCGGCGAGUUGCAGACGCCUCCAACUUCGUCUCCGACACCUGCAACUGGUUAAAUAUCCAGUUUGUUGCAAGUUAUUAUAAAAAUGGCUGAAAAUAAGGCGGAGAUGGAGGGUGGCCGGUCGACCGACUACGACGGUGGCACGACGGAUCUCCACUCCAAAAUCCCAAUUGCCGCCAUGGUUGCCGGAAAAACGAUCUGAAAUCGAGCCUCCUAGUUGCAGGUGUCGGAGACGAAGCCGGAGGCGUCUGCAACUCGCCGGAGACGGAGACGGAGCCGGAGGCGUCUGCAACACGCCGGAGACGGAGCCGGAGGCAUCUGCAACUCGCCGGAGAUGACUGCAACUUUCAGACGCAUCCCGGCACCUCCCAGACGCAUCCCGGCACCUCCCAGAC